This 72-nucleotide transfer RNA is filed under the name Ovis aries (sheep). It matches the Rfam family "tRNA". From Rfam's summary of the family: Transfer RNA (tRNA) molecules are approximately 80 nucleotides in length. Their secondary structure includes four short double-helical elements and three loops (D, anti-codon, and T loops). The record is from Rfam by way of RNAcentral. Lineage: Eukaryota; Metazoa; Chordata; Mammalia; Artiodactyla; Bovidae.
UCCCUGGUGGCUCAGAUGGUAAAGAAUCCACCUGCAAUGUGGGAGACCUGGGCUUGAUCCCUGGCUUGGGAA